AGAAUAUCCAAGUAAGGACUGC
RNAcentral lists this non-coding RNA (22 nucleotides) under Arabidopsis thaliana (thale cress). Lineage: Eukaryota; Viridiplantae; Streptophyta; Magnoliopsida; Brassicales; Brassicaceae. The record is from RNAcentral.